GGAAAGGCUUACAGUUGAUACCUAGGCACCCAGAGAUAAGGAAGGGCGUAGUAAUCGACGAAAUGCUUUAGGGAGUUGGAAAUAAGCAUAGAUCCAAAGAUUCCCCAAUAGGGCAAUCUUUCAAACUGCGGUUGAAUCCAUGGGCAGGAAAGAGACAACCAGGCGAACUAAAACAUCUUUGUAGCCAGAGAAAAAGAAAGCAAAAGUGAUUCCCAUAGUAGUGGCGAGUGAAAUGGGAGCAGCCUAAACCAGGAAAAUGGGGAUGUGGGAGAGCAAUAUAAGUGUCGUGCUGCUAGGCGAAGGAACCUGAAUGCUACACCCUAGAUGGCAAAAGACCAGUAGCCAAAAACAUCACUAGCUUACUCUCUGACCCGAGAAGCAUGGGGCACAUGGAAUCCCGUGUGAAUCAGCAAGGACCACCUUGGAAGGCUAAAUACUCCUGGGUGACCACUAGAGAAGUAGUACCGUAAGGGAAGGGUGAAAAGAACCCCCAUCGGGGAGUGAAAUAGAACAUGAAACCAUAAGCUACCAAGCAGUGGGAGGAGCCAUGGCUCUGACCGCGUGCCUGUUGCAGAAUGAGCCCGCGACUCAUAGGCAGUGGAUUUGCUAAGGGAACCCACCAGAGCAGUAGCAAAAAUGAGUCUUCAUAGGGCAAUUGUUACUGCUUAUGGACCCAAACCUAGGUGAUCUAUCCAUAACCAGGAUGAAGCUUGGGUGAAACUAAGUGGAGGUCCGAACCGACUGAUGUUGAAGAAUCAACGGAUGAGUUGUGGUUAAUAAUAAAAUACUACUCGAACCCAGAGCUAGCUGGUUCUCCCUGAAAUGCAUUGAGAUGCAGAAGUUGACUGGACAUCUAGGGGUAAAGCACUGUUUUGGUGCAGGCCACGAGAGCAGUACCAAAUCGAGGCAAACUCAAAAUACUAGGUAUGACCUUAAAAUUAAAAAAGAGGGGUCAAAGUUGGCUAGUGAGACGAUGAGGGAUAAGCUUCAUCGUCUAGAGGGAAACAGCCCGGAUUACCAGCUAAGGCCCCUAAAUGGCCACUCAGUGAUAAGGGAGGUAGGGGUGUGGAGACAGCCAGGAGGUUUUCCUAGAAACAGCCACCCUUAAAAGUGUACGUAAUAGGUCACUGAUCGAGCGCUCUUACGCUGAAGAUGAACGGGGCUAAGCGAUCUGCCGAAGCUGUGGGGUGUAAAAAUACAUAGGUAGGGGAGCGUUCCACCUUAGAAGGAAGCCUCCGCACGAGCGGUGGUAGAUGAAGCGAAAGUGAGAAUGUCAGCUUGAGUAAUGCAAACAUUGGUGAUAAUCCAAUGCCUCAAAAACCUAAGGGUUCCUCCGCAAAGUUCAUCCACAUAGGGUGAUUCAGGGCCUAAGAUCAAGCCGAAAGGCAUAGUCGAUGGACAACAGGUGAAUAUUCCUGUACUAACCCUUGUUGGUCCCGAGGGACGGAGGAGGCUAUGUUAGCCGAAAGAUGGUUAUCGGUUCAAGAACAUAAGGUUUCCCUACCUUUUUUUCAGGGUAAGAAGGGGUAGAGAAAAUGCCUUGAGCCAAUAUUCGAAUACCACGUGCUACGGUGCUGAAGUAACCCAUGUCGUACUCCCAGAAAAAGCUCAAACGACUUUGAGCAAGAGGGUACCUAUACCUGAAACUGACACAGGUGGGUAGGAAGAGAAUAGCUAGGGGCAUGAGACAACUCUCUCUAAGGAACUCAGCAAAAUAUCCCCAUAAAUUCGCAAGAAGGGGUGCCUCUUCACAUCACAAAGGGGGUCGUAGGCAUGAGACUAUGUAUGGGGGCUAAAGCCUGCCCAGUGCCAGAAGGUCAAGGAAGUUGGUGACCUGAUGAUAGGGGAGCUAGCGACCGAAACCCCGGUGAACGACGGCCAUAACUAUAAUGGUCCUAAGGUAAUGAAAUUCCUUGUCAGGUAAGUUUCGACCCACACAAAAGUCGUAACGAUCUNGCGGACUACCUGCACCUGGACAGAAAGACCCUAUGAAGCUUCACUGUUCCCUGGGAUUGGCUUUGGGCCUUUCCUGCGCAGCUUAGGUGGAAGGCGAAGAAGGCCUCCUUCCGGGGGGGCCCGAGCCAUCAGUGAGAUACCACUCUGGAAGGGCUAGAAUUCUAACCUUGUGUCAGGACCUACGGGCCAAGGGACAGUCUCAGGUAGACAGUUUCUAUGGGGCGUAGGCCUCCCUAAAGGUAACGGAGGCAUGCAAAGGUUUCCUCGGGCCGGACAGAGAUUGGCCCUCAAGUGAAAAGGCAGAAGGGAGCUUGACUUCAAGACCCACCCGUCGAGCAGGGACGAAAGUCGGCCUUAGUAAUCCAAUGGUGCCGAGUGGAAGGGCCAUCGCUCAAUGGAUAAAAGUUACUCUAGGGAUAACAGGCUUAUGUUUCCCAAGAGCUCAUAUCAACGGGAAAGUUUGGCANNNNNNNNNNNUGUUCGCCCAUUAAAGCGGUACGUGAGCUGGGUUCAAAAUGUCGUGAGACAGUUCGGUCCAUAUCCAGCAUGGGUGUUAGAGCAUUGAUAGGACCUUUCCCUAGUAUGAGAGGAUCGGGAAGGACGCACCUCUGGUGUACCAGUUAUCGUGCCCACGAUAAAUGCAGGGUAGCCAAGUGCGGAACGGAUAACUGCUGAAAGUAUCUAAGUAGUAAGCCCACCCCAAGAUGAGUGCUCUCCUAUUCCGACUUCCCCCGAGCUUUCGGUAGCACAGCCAAGAAAGCGACAAGUUCUCUUCCCCUGCAGGGAUGGAGCGACAAAGGUUUUUUUGAGAAUUCAAUAGAAAGUCACGGCGAAAUGAGACGUGUAUCAUUACGAUAGGUGUCAAGUGGAAGUGCAGUGAUGUAUGCAGUUGAGGCAUCCUAACAGACCGGUAGACUUGAAC
RNAcentral lists this ribosomal RNA (2878 nucleotides) under Capsicum chinense (habanero). Its description in RNAcentral is "bacterial LSU rRNA". It matches the Rfam family "Bacterial large subunit ribosomal RNA". Lineage: Eukaryota; Viridiplantae; Streptophyta; Magnoliopsida; Solanales; Solanaceae. The record is from RNAcentral.